UUUAAAUAUACGGGUUAGAGCCAGGUUGGUUAGGCGUCUCAUUUGGGUUGAGGAAUUGUUAUGUUCGAAUCAUAAUAACCCGA
This 83-nucleotide transfer RNA is filed under the name Ricasolia amplissima. Its description in RNAcentral is "tRNA-Pro". The record is from RNAcentral. Lineage: Eukaryota; Fungi; Ascomycota; Lecanoromycetes; Peltigerales; Lobariaceae.